RNAcentral lists this ribosomal RNA (247 nucleotides) under uncultured bacterium. Its description in RNAcentral is "partial 16S ribosomal RNA". It matches the Rfam family "Bacterial small subunit ribosomal RNA", at positions 335 to 579 of the family's 1533-position model. The record is from RNAcentral.
AACCCUACGGGGGGCAGCAGUGAGGAAUAUUGGUCAAUGGUCGGGAGACUGAACCAGCCAAGCCGCGUGAGGGAGGAAGGUACAGAGUAUCGUAAACCUCUUUUGUCAGGGAACAAAGGCGGGGACGUGUCCCCGGAUGAGUGUACCUGAAGAAAAAGCAUCGGCUAACUCCGUGCCAGCAGCCGCGGUAAUACGGAGGAUGCGAGCGUUGUCCGGAUUUACUGGGUGUAAAGGGUUCGUAGGCGGG